Non-coding RNA from Echria macrotheca, 144 nucleotides. NCBI's taxonomy places the organism in Eukaryota, Fungi, Ascomycota, Sordariomycetes, Sordariales, Schizotheciaceae. The record is from the annotation of a GenBank genome assembly.
GGGCGGGUAGCGUAGUGGUCAGCGCAUUCCCUGAGCGUGCAGCUUUUCUUCCCUAAGCCGGAUUUCAGCGUUGGUUUUCUAAAUAUAUAUUGUACAUAUCAAAGCGUUCAUUGAAAGACCUGGGUUCGAUUCCCAGCCCGCCCA